Molecule: long non-coding RNA, 566 nt
Organism: Zea mays
Lineage: Eukaryota; Viridiplantae; Streptophyta; Magnoliopsida; Poales; Poaceae
Exons: 2
Source: RefSeq, a predicted model, not a curated record
UUCAUUGCCAAAAGAGUUCGACACCUUUGUUGUCAACUACAACAUUCAACCCGAGAAGUGGGAUCUUGAUCGUUGUAUGGCUAUGUGUGUGCAAGAAGAGGAGAGAAUAAAAGCUGCCAAUGGUGGCACUCUCCACUAUGUUAAAGAUAAUAAGAAAAGAAAUUUCAAUGCCAAUGCCAACUCUCCCGCAAAAGCAAAGGGAAAGGCUCCUCAGCACCAUCAGCCUCAACAGAAAAGUUUAUGGUAAACAAAGAUCAAUGUCUCCACUGUAAGAAGACAGGACAUUACAAAAAAGACUGUCCUGAAUUCUUAAAAUCUAUCAUGGCAAAGAAUGGGAUUCCGUUCGACGAGGACUAUGCAAAGAAAAGAAAGACACAUUAAAGUUGCAAAUGGAGUGCAAGCAGAUGUUGAAGCUGUUGGCGACCUUCCUCUAGAGCUUGCUAAUGGCUUCAUGGUUGUACUUAGAGAUGUUAUUUAUGUUCCCUCUUUACAGAGGAAUUUGAUUAGUGUCUCAUGUUUGGACAAUAAUGGUUUUGAUUGUCAUUUUGGAGAUGGCAAAUGUGAGA